RNAcentral lists this small nuclear RNA (143 nucleotides) under Suricata suricatta (meerkat). RNAcentral's name for it is "U2 spliceosomal RNA (ENSSSUG00005018471.1)". It matches the Rfam family "U2 spliceosomal RNA". Rfam says of the family: U2 is a small nuclear RNA (snRNA) component of the spliceosome (involved in pre-mRNA splicing). The record is from Rfam by way of RNAcentral. Lineage: Eukaryota; Metazoa; Chordata; Mammalia; Carnivora; Herpestidae.
AUCGCUUCUCGGCCUUUUGGCUAAGAUCGAGUGUAGUACCUGUUCUCGUCAGCUUAAAAAAACAGAGAUGAUGUCAUACUCAGGGCCCUAACCCAAUGACUGCUGUUCUAAUCAGAAGAAGAAAAUUUGGACACAGACGCACC